AUUCGGAAGAAAAUUAUUUGUUUCUCAUUCCUGAUGAUAAUUUUAUUAGAAAAAUAAAUGCGUGUGUUCAAUUUUACGAAAACGGGAUAAAAUUUGAAACUAAAAGUUUUUGUUCGAUCUGUUAAAACUAAUCCUAUAGCCAUUAUUGACUGCAUAUUGUAUGAGAACGAAAUUCAGUUGACUAUACUAAUAUAAGUUCGACUUCGUACAUGUGUGACGUCUUGUCUCCAGUUACCGGAUAUCCGGUUGACUUUCAUAUUUGCCGGAAGUUGUCUAUGUUGAUUUAAUAUAUAUUUCAGAAUUAUUAUUUUAAAUAUAGUCACAGACUUGCGACAUAAAUAUUGAUAAUUAUUCCGGAAUGUUUUUUUUUUUUAAUUUUAAAGAAAGCUUAUCCAGCAGUUUUAACAAGAAAAUAUUUUAUUUAUUACACACAGCAGAUUGUAAAAAAAUUGCUGAUACAAAACUCCAACAUAUCCCUCAUAACAUUCAGUUGUAGCGAUCUAAAAAAAAAAAAAAAAACUAACUCGGCAGUUUACUAUCAGAUAAUUUUAUGCAAAUGAUCGUAUAACCCGGAGUAAUCUUCCUUUAUUAGCAGAUAAACGUUUUCGCUAAAUACACUCGUUAAACAGAAACCAAGAAUUUUAGUUUCUUUUAAAAAAGGGAAUCGGUUGCCAUGACGACCUGCCAAGGCCGUCUGCCGACGGAAGCUCGGAGAUAAAAGGAAGGGGGAAGCAAAGAUUGAACAAGAGACAGCGAAGCAGUGCGGGCUCGGCACCUAGCAACAAGGCACGCGCUUACACGUGACCCAUGGCCCGGGGCAAGGUGGCUAGAACCAACGCGUGCUUCGCCCAUUAGGAAUGGUUUAUGUGGGGCGUCCUUGCGUGUGACGACCUUUGACCUGUCGCCUCCCGCAAAUCAACGACACUUUUCUGUCUUUUCCCCUUUUUCAUUGGCUCCUCCCCAUUCCCGCCUGACUGUGAAAGAGAGGAAUGUGUUUCGGAUCCACCCCCAACUUGGUCUUCUUUUGUCACACCUGAAAGAGACUGUUCUUUUCUGUCUGAGUCCGCCUAUACCAUUGGGGACUGAAUUGGGGAAGGUUAGAAUUCUGUUAGUUAACGGUUUCACUCUAGUUUUCCUUCUCGAUUAAAAAAAAAAGAGGAAACAAUUUAUAAACGUGAAUUUACUACAGAUUUCUGUUCUUCCGAAAGCUAAAUGGUUUCCUAUUAUCGUGUUAUUUUUGUAUUCUUAAAUAAGUCAACAUUCUGUCUGCCAACUUGAUUUUUCUCUUCAAAUGAAUUUCUAGGCACACCUGGUGAACGUCUCGGUUGAUUAAUGGAAGGAAAUUCAGCUUCAGUCCCACAGUCGGGGGUGAUGUCAUCCUAAUGACUGGCUGUCUGAGAUUCGGGGGUAUAUAUUUAAUAACCACUAGAUGUUGUUUGUCUUGGUUGAUUCUUUUAUCUCGCUGUAUUUUGUUCGUAAUUUUUUUUUUUUUCAUAUUUCAACUAAAGUACCAAAUAACUUCUAUCUAGAGUUAAACAAAAUAAACAUUAUUUACGUAAGAAUUAUUGGAGAUGUGCCAAAGAAGACGCCAAAUUCGUUAUUGAAGGAAAUUUUUACUUUGAAAGAUUCAAAUCACGAUUCGAUUUGUACGAAUGACACGGAAAAAGGAGAGGUUUAAAUUUUAUCCGCCUUUUCGAAGAUAAAAUUGGAGUAUCUUUACCACUACGGAAAGAUGGAAUGGGGUUUUGAUAAAAAUCCGCUAUAUCAAAAAUAGUUUUACCAAUUUCCUCUUGUAUCUAUUUUCUGACAGACAUUUUUUCCUCGGUUAACGUUAAUUAAUAUAUAUAUAUAACGCCUUUAACUUCCGAGAAUUUAUUAUUUUCCCGAAGAAAGCAAUUUUAAUAGAUUAGAAGCGUUAAAUUUUGUGCGACUUAAGUGCCGGAUACGAUUCCGAAAUGUUUCGUAAUCCACGAGAAGAAAUUAUGACUCUGUUAUUUGUGGGAAUGCCGAUAGUGGGUGGAUCUGUUACUCAAAAUUAUUUGGAAAUUUUGAAUUGUGGCGUCUUAACCUCGAGUGGAAAAUAGUUUAUGAAUUUUUCAUCAAUAAGAGUCUUUCGUCAUGUUCUAAACUUUUUCAAAAUAAUUCUCUCUCGUUUCGGUUGAAUUUACUUGUGACUGGAAUUAGAUAUAUGCUAGUUUAAGUAAUAAUAAAAUGAAUGCGAUUAGGAAUAG
RNAcentral lists this long non-coding RNA (2231 nucleotides) under Androctonus crassicauda. Lineage: Eukaryota; Metazoa; Arthropoda; Arachnida; Scorpiones; Buthidae. The record is from RNAcentral.